GGUUGAUCCUGCCGGAGGCUACCGCUAUUGGAGUUCGAUUAAGCCAUGCGAGUCGAGAGUCUUAGGGACUCGGCGUACCGCUCAGUAACACGUGGGUAACCUGCCCUAUGCUGGGGAAUAACCUCGGGAAACUGAGAAUAAUGCCCCAUAGUUCACUACGCCUGGAACGGUGAGUGGAUGAAAGCUCCGGCGGCAUAGGAUGGGCCUGCGGCGUACCAGGUCGUAGGGGGUGUAACGUACCCUCUAGCCAUCGACGCGUACGGGUGUUGGGAGACAUAGCCCGGAGAUGGAUUCUGAGACACGAAUCCAGACCCUACGGGGUGCAGCAGGCGCGAAAACUUGGCAAUGCGAGAAAUCGUGACCAGGGAACUCCAAGUGGCUGGGGUAAGACCCAGUCUUUUCUUGACUCUUCAAGGGUCUUGGAAUAAGAGGUGGGUAAGGACGGUGCCAGCCGCCGCGGUAAUACCGGCGCCUCAAGUGGUAGUCGAUUUUAUUGGGCCUAAAACGUCCGUAGCCUGUUUGGUACAUUCGUGGGUAAAUCAACCAGCUCAACUGGUUGAAUUCUGCGAGCACGGCCAGACUUGGGACCGGGAGAGGUGUGGGGUACGCUCAGGGUAGGGGUAAAAUCCUGUCAUCCUGAGCGGACCACCUGUUGCGAAGGCGCCACACUAGAACGGAUCCGACGGUCAGGGACGAAGCCUAGGGGCACGAACCGGAUUAGAUACCCGGGUAGUCCUAGGUGUAAACGCUGUGGACUUGGUGUUGGGGAUUCUCCGAGGAUUCUCAGUGCCGAAGCGAAGGUGAUAAGUCCACUGCCUGGGGAGUACGGUCGCAAGGCUGAAACUUAAAGGAAUUGGCGGGGGAGCACCGCAACCUGAGGAUUGUGCGGUUUAAUUGGAUCAACGCCGGG
This 910-nucleotide ribosomal RNA is filed under the name uncultured archaeon. Its description in RNAcentral is "bacterial SSU rRNA". It matches the Rfam family "Archaeal small subunit ribosomal RNA", at positions 6 to 922 of the family's 1478-position model. The record is from RNAcentral.